Molecule: long non-coding RNA, 1332 nt
Filed under: Apteryx haastii (Great spotted kiwi)
Lineage: Eukaryota; Metazoa; Chordata; Aves; Apterygiformes; Apterygidae
Description: lncRNA (ENSAHAG00000001582.1)
Source: RNAcentral
CCCCCGUCCUCGCACGCCCAUGACACCCCCCUCGUGCACACGGGGUCUGUGCACUGGUGUGUGCACGGCCCUUGCACACGCGUGUGCCCAUGCUGGCACACGCACGUGGGGACGCACACGCGGAGCCUCGCACCACAUGCACGACCCCCUGCGUGUGCAAGGGGCCCCGCACACGUGCGCACACGCAGCCCCACGCACACACACACACUUCCAUGCACGUGUGCACACGGCUAGGCCCAGGCGCAUCCCCGCACAUGGACACGUGUGCACGCGACUGUGCACACACGCACGUGACCGUGCACACGCAGCCCCGUCACGUGCCCGAGUCCUGUGCACGCCUGUCCACGCGUGCACACGCAGCCCUGCACACACAUAUAGACACGUAUGUGCACACGCGGCCCUGCACGCCCAGAGCCACGCACACAUCCAUGCACGCACACUUGUGCACGCACAUGCACGCAGCCCUGUGCGCACACGAGCACAUGCACAGCCCCACACCCGCUUACACGCGUGCCCCAGACCUGCACGGCCCCACACACGCACCCUGCACACGUGCACACACCCCCUCGUGCCCUGCACGCAUCCACGUGCACACCCUGCGUGCACAGCCGUGCACACGCAUGCACCCUGCACGCACACGCCUGUGCACACACACACACACCCUGCUUGCACACACAGUCCUGCACACGUCCAUGCACAGCUGUACACACACACACACCCCCAUGCAUGCACACACACAACUGUGCACACACACAGUGCAUGCUCCUGCCCAUGCACACGCACCCCCGUGCAUGCACACGUCCAUGCACACACCCCCGUGCAUGCACACACAAAACUGUGCACGCACACGUCCAUGCACACACACCCCCAUGCACACACACGCACCCCGUGCAUGCAUAUGUCCAUGCACACACACACACACCAUGCACACACGCAUCCAUGCACACUCACCCAUGCAUGCACACAUCCAUGCACACUCACCCCCAUGCACACAUGCACCCCGUGCACACACACAUCCACGCACACGCACCCCAUGCAUGCACACACACCCCAUGCACGCGCACAUCCAUGCACACUCACCCCAUGCAUGCACACACAUCCAUGCACACUCACCCCAUACAUGCACACGCACCCCUGUGCAUGCACACGCACCCCCGUGCAUGCACACAUCCAUGCACACUCACCCCAUGCAUGCACACGCACCCCCGUGCAUGCACACAUCCAUGCACGCACACCCCCGUGCAUGCACACACACACACCCCGUGCACACNNNNNNNNNNNNNNNNNNNNNNNNNNNNNNNNNNNNNNNNNNNNNNNNNNNNNNNNNNNNNN